CCUGCCCCUAGAGGCAUCGUGGGUGGGACUGCUGGAUCACAUGUGUAGGUGGCAGAGAGGAGAGAGGCGAUGCCAAUGCUCAUUUCUGUGGACAGUUGAAAGAUGUUCCUGGAAAA
Small nucleolar RNA from Rattus norvegicus (Norway rat), 116 nucleotides. Ensembl annotates it as small nucleolar RNA SNORA17. Lineage: Eukaryota; Metazoa; Chordata; Mammalia; Rodentia; Muridae. The record is from Ensembl.